GCGCUUCCAACGACGACGUUCCGUCCCUAUAUUCCGACUCGUCCGGGCAACCGGACUAUGGCGAUAAACGCGCAGAGAUAGGCGGAUCGGACCCGGGUGCGAUGCCCGGCGGCUCCACCAUCAGGGGUUAGAAGCCAGAAAUCAGUAGUCAGAAGGCGCAUUUCUGAUUUCUGGGUUCGGGUUUCUGACACCUGAUGAAGGGGCCGAAAUAGGAUCGACGGACGUUGAAGGCUGAUGCUUUUGCUCGGGUGGUCCCGAUACAGGCCAAACAGCAUAGUUGCCAAUGACAACCACGCUGAGGAAUUCGCCCUCGCUGCGUAAGCAGUGCGGAGUUUUCCGAACCUAAGUCCUACUGAGUAGCAUCACUAGGCGGGGCCCCCCGGCGCCCGGCAACAGAAGCCGGGGAUU
This 408-nucleotide transfer-messenger RNA is filed under the name Hyphomonadaceae bacterium. It matches the Rfam family "Alphaproteobacteria transfer-messenger RNA". Rfam says of the family: Bacterial tmRNA, also known as 10Sa RNA or SsrA, is named for its dual tRNA and mRNA-like properties. Its role is to liberate the mRNA from a stalled ribosome. Lineage: Bacteria; Pseudomonadati; Pseudomonadota; Alphaproteobacteria; Hyphomonadales; Hyphomonadaceae. The record is from RNAcentral.